This 833-nucleotide ribosomal RNA is filed under the name Mucoromycotina sp. RNAcentral's name for it is "SSU rRNA". It matches the Rfam family "Eukaryotic small subunit ribosomal RNA", at positions 890 to 1742 of the family's 1831-position model. Lineage: Eukaryota; Fungi; Mucoromycota. The record is from RNAcentral.
CAUAGUAUUUAGUAGCUAGAGGUGAAAUUCUUGGAUUUACGAAAGACUAACUUCUGCGAAAGCAUUUGCCAAGGAUGUUUUCCUUAAUCCAGAACGAAAGUUAGGGGAUCGAAGACGAUCAGAUACCGUCGUAGUCUUAACCAUAAACUAUGCCGACUAGGGAUCAGACUGUCGUUAAUUUACUGACGCGUUUGGCACCUUAUGAGAAAUCAAAGUUUUUGGGUUCCGGGGGGAGUAUGGUCGCAAGGCUGAAACUUAAAGGAAUUGACGGAAGGGCACCACCAGGAGUGGAGCCUGCGGCUUAAUUUGACUCAACACGGGGAAACUCACCAGGUCCAGACAUAGUAAGGAUUGACAGAUUGAGAGCUCUUUCUUGAUUCUAUGGGUGGUGGUGCAUGGCCGUUCUUAGUUGGUGGAGUGAUUUGUCUGCUUAAUUGCGUUAACGAACGAGACCUUAACCUGCUAAAUAGUUAUGCCAACUUUUGUUGGUAGCCAACUUCUUAGAGGGACUGUCGGCAUCAAGCCGACGGAAGUUUGAGGCAAUAACAGGUCUGUUAUGCCCUUAGAUGUCCUGGGCCGCACGCGCGCUACACUGAUGAAGUCAACGAGUUUAUAACCUUGGCCGGAAGGUCUGGGUAAUCUUUUGAAACUUCAUCGUGCUGGGGAUAGAGCAUUGCAAUUAUUGCUCUUCAACGAGGAAUUCCUAGUAAGCGUGAGUCAUCAGCUCGCGCUGAUUACGUCCCUGCCCUUUGUACACACCGCCCGUCGCUACUACCGAUUGAAUGGCUUAGUGAGUCCCUCGGAUCGGCGUCGAUGAGCUGGCAACAGCACUC